RNAcentral lists this ribosomal RNA (907 nucleotides) under Leptosphaerulina australis. RNAcentral's name for it is "partial large subunit ribosomal RNA". It matches the Rfam family "Eukaryotic large subunit ribosomal RNA", at positions 37 to 962 of the family's 3401-position model. Lineage: Eukaryota; Fungi; Ascomycota; Dothideomycetes; Pleosporales; Didymellaceae. The record is from RNAcentral.
AGCAUAUCAAUAAGCGGAGGAAAAGAAACCAACAGGGAUUGCCCUAGUAACGGCGAGUGAAGCGGCAACAGCUCAAAUUUGAAAUCUGGCGUCUUUGGCGUCCGAGUUGUAAUUUGCAGAGGGCGCUUUGGCAUUGGCAGCGGUCCAAGUUCCUUGGAACAGGACGUCACAGAGGGUGAGAAUCCCGUACGUGGUCGCUAGCCUUUACCGUGUAAAGCCCCUUCGACGAGUCGAGUUGUUUGGGAAUGCAGCUCUAAAUGGGAGGUAAAUUUCUUCUAAAGCUAAAUACUGGCCAGAGACCGAUAGCGCACAAGUAGAGUGAUCGAAAGAUGAAAAGCACUUUGGAAAGAGAGUUAAAAAGCACGUGAAAUUGUUGAAAGGGAAGCGCUUGCAGCCAGACUUGCCUGUAGUUGCUCAUCCGGGUUUCUACCCGGUGCACUCUUCUAUAGGCAGGCCAGCAUCAGUUUGGGCGGUUGGAUAAAGGUCUCUGUCAUGUACCUCCUUUCGGGGAGAACUUAUAGGGGAGACGACAUGCAACCAGCCUGGACUGAGGUCCGCGCAUCUGCUAGGAUGCUGGCGUAAUGGCUGUAAGCGGCCCGUCUUGAAACACGGACCAAGGAGUCUAACAUCUAUGCGAGUGUUUGGGUGUCAAGCCCGAGCGCGUAAUGAAAGUGAACGGAGGUGGGAACCUUUCGGGGUGCACCAUCGACCGAUCCUGAUGUCUUCGGAUGGAUUUGAGUAAGAGCAUAGCUGUUGGGACCCGAAAGAUGGUGAACUAUGCUUGAAUAGGGUGAAGCCAGAGGAAACUCUGGUGGAGGCUCGCAGCGGUUCUGACGUGCAAAUCGAUCGUCAAAUUUGGGCAUAGGGGCGAAAGACUAAUCGAACUAUCUAGUAGCUGGUUCCUGCC